AUUUUACAGUAUUAGUCGAGAGAUUUUUUUUCCUUGAGAAAUUUUGGCAUGUACUGUACCUGAUAUAUAUCCAAAAUAAUCGAUGUCGAAUCGAAUUGGUAGUCGAAUAGAAUCGCAAGCUUGUGAAUGAGAAUCGAAUCGUGAAAUUUGUGUCAAAACCCAGCCCUGCUUACCAAGUACGUAGUUGUCAACCCCAGCAAAUCUAAAGUCUUGAAACUUUAUCAUCUCUUUAUUUUUAGAUAACCAGUCAGGACAAGACAGCUCAGGUGAUUCAGAGAGCUCUGGAGAAACACAACUUGGAGGAGAUGAACUGCCAAGACUUUAGUCUCACACAAGUGGUUUCUAAUGACAAAGAGUUGCUGAUUCCAGACAAAGCCAACGUGUUCUAUGCCAUGUGCACCACUGCCAACUUUGACUUUGUGCUUCGCCAGCGUUACAAAAAUCUCAGCAGAGCGCCUGGAUCAUCCUGGAGUCCCGGAGCAGUUCUGAGGUCCCGCAAGUAACAGCACCGUGAUGACAACCCACAACAUGGUGGUAUAAUACAGGAAAACUUGUUUUAAAAGUGAACAAAGACUAUAUAACCACAUGGACAACUGUGAUGAGCUGGUGACUACUGGAUGUCAAAGCUCUGAUACAUUUAAAAACAGACUGAUGGAUGCAUCAUUGAGCUCCGAAACACACUGGAGUCACAAUUUAUGACAUCAUCUCACCCCGUAAUGUAGCAAGGAAACUGUAGCUUUCUACAGCUGCCACAACGACAGUUCUGAUUUAAAACCAGUUAAAACUGGAGGAAAAAAGACUCCGAGGAUCUGAAAUGAAGACCUAGGGAAGUUGCAAUAAAUGGCCACAUCUACUGCCAGUUUAUUCAGAGGUUUUGCUUUGAAAUGAGAGGUCACGCAUGUGAUACCUGAGUUUUACUGAGAAACAUUUGUUUGUAUUUGGAUGAACACAUUUGUUUUAAAUAUGACCUACAAAUACAAGCUUUUAUGUAGCUAAUAUUCAGCGAUAGGUAAAAAGUGAAUAGAAAUGUAUAUUUAUGUUUUCUAAGUGACA
RNAcentral lists this long non-coding RNA (1053 nucleotides) under Sinocyclocheilus grahami. RNAcentral describes it as "lncRNA (ENSSGRG00000054743.1)". The record is from RNAcentral. Lineage: Eukaryota; Metazoa; Chordata; Actinopteri; Cypriniformes; Cyprinidae.